RNAcentral lists this transfer RNA (58 nucleotides) under Neotoma lepida (desert woodrat). It matches the Rfam family "tRNA", at positions 8 to 63 of the family's 71-position model. From Rfam's summary of the family: Transfer RNA (tRNA) molecules are approximately 80 nucleotides in length. Their secondary structure includes four short double-helical elements and three loops (D, anti-codon, and T loops). The record is from Rfam by way of RNAcentral. Lineage: Eukaryota; Metazoa; Chordata; Mammalia; Rodentia; Cricetidae.
UGGCUCAGUGGUUAAGAGCACUGGCUGCUCUUCCAGAGGGUCUGGGUUUGAAUCCCAG